This is a long non-coding RNA of Ceratitis capitata (Mediterranean fruit fly), 890 nucleotides long. RefSeq lists it as uncharacterized. NCBI's taxonomy places the organism in Eukaryota, Metazoa, Arthropoda, Insecta, Diptera, Tephritidae. The record is from RefSeq and is a predicted model, not a curated record. The transcript is spliced from 2 exons.
ACAAGCGAACCCAUUGUGAUACCACCCACACGCUAAUCGAACCAUUUUGUGGAGUAUGCAAAGCUAAACAGUUGCCGAAUCUUUCUUAGAUCGCCAAAGAUUGCUACCACUUGUGGCUUCAACCUGCUGCUCCAAAGUGUGGGGCAUUCGCAGAUGAAGUGUCUUAAAUUUUCAAGUUUCCUAGCUGCAACUUCUGAGGAAAUCAUUAGAUCGUACGCCCUACCUCUCCGUCCUUUUAGAAGGCAUUUAACUGUAGACAUCUCCUUUCUUUUCAGCUCAAUAAAGUUGCGUGACGUUCUUCUGUUAAAUUAAAUUGAAAUAUUAAAUUCUCUAUUAUUUGUAUAAAUGUUUCACGUCAAAAUUUGAGUUUCUGUUAUUUCAGCGGCUGUUUUAUCUGCCACUAAAACGUAAAUACGAACACCUCAAAUUUUCAAUGGUUCCCUUACGGAUACAAAGCGCCUAGUGUAUAAACAUAUAAUGACUAGCUGGUCCCUGCAAGGCUUCGCUGUCGCGCAUACUCAUUGAAUAUAUGGAAAUUUAGUUAUGGGAUAUCUUUUUAUCAUAACUUUAUUUACAGAACAGGCCGGUCUGCGGUUCACUUUCCGGAGAAAAUAGUAGUCGGAUUUUUUUCUUAAUUGAUCGGAUCCUGGUCCACUCCUUGGAGGUCGCUGGUCCACUUACCGAAAAAUUUUUCGCAAAAUCUUUCCAGGAAUAAUAGAGGCAAUUUUACAAAAUUUCGAGUCAAUCGAUGGGUAACUUUUGAAGAUUUUUGGAGAUUACUGGAUUUUUCCAACCGAAAAAAAACAGAUAUAGAAGAUAAAUGUGUUAUUAACAUAUUGGGAUAUCCAAAAUUAAAAAUUAAAUGAUAAGAAAUGAGAUUUAAAACCUAA